Molecule: ribosomal RNA, 253 nt
Filed under: uncultured bacterium
Lineage: Bacteria
Description: partial 16S ribosomal RNA
Rfam family: Bacterial small subunit ribosomal RNA
Source: RNAcentral
UACGUAGGGUGCAGGCGUUAAUCGGAAUUACUGGGCGUAAAGCGUGCGCAGGCGGUUUGCUAAGACAGGUGUGAAAUCCCCGGGCUCAACCUGGGAACUGCAUCUGUGACUGCAUAGCUAGAGUACGGUAGAGGGGGAUGGAAUUCCGCGUGUAGCAGUGAAAUGCGUAGAUAUGCGGAGGAACACCGAUGGCGAAGGCAAUCCCCUGGACCUGUACUGACGCUCAUGCACGAAAGCGUGGGGAGCAAACAGG